CGGAGGAGAGGGAACACAACUGUAUGUUAGGAUGAAAAGCAGUGCGUGAUCCUGACGGGAACUCAUCCUCUGAUCCUGAGCUACUGAACCGCGAUUUUCCUUUGUCCCGACCUAACUGGAAUCCUAACACAACUGAGGGCUCCACCAGAUCGAUGGCUGUCUAACUCCUGAGUUAUGCACUAUCAAGCACUGCUCCUGGAUCCAACUACUAUCAGCUUCAAGGAAACAGCAGCCUUAAAUCCUGCUACCCUGCUGCCUGAUGAUGAUCCCUCCUUGCCUCUCCACAAUUGUAUUGAGGUCAUUGAUCACCUCACAGGACUUCGACCAGAUUUGACGGACGAGCCACUACCUGGAGUUCCAUCCUACUUCUCCGAUGGAAACAGUUACAUCUAUCAAGGUAAGUGGGUUGCAGGAGCUGCCGUCACUACGGACUCUCAGAUUCUAUGGGAACAAACCUCAGAGCCAGGAACAUCAGCUCAACAAGCUGAACUCAGCUCUUACUGAGGCCCUCAAGUUGUCAGAAGGAAAAGACAUAAACAUUUAUACUGACAGCAGAUAUGCAUUUGCUACUGCCCAUGUUCAUGGGGCCAUUUAUCGGGAAUGAGGUUUAUUGACUUCAGGGGGCCAAAAGAUUAAAAAUGCUUGCCAAAUUUUGGAUUUGCUGGCUGCCAUUUGGAUGCCAAGAAAGGUGGCUAUUAUUCACUGCAAAGCCCAUCAAGUGGGAGAUGAUCCUGUUACACGAGGGAACAAUCUAGCAGACACCACUGCCCAAAAAGUGGCCACAAAAUCAGUGGAGAUUGAGACAGCCCCAACAUUGCUGCUGAUUCCACCUACUCUGUCAAAGCCCUUUUACACUCAAAAAGACUUACAUUUGGCAGCUCAACUCCAAGCAAAACCUGAUAUCCCCGGGGGCUAGUACCAACUGCCUGAUAAUCGAGUCCUCCUCCCCGAGGCCGUGGGACAAGAACUCAUCCAACAAGCUCAUUAGUCCACUCAUAUGGGAGGAUCAAAACUAGCUGCUCUUUUUCGAGAUCAUUUCUUUAUCCCUCAGUUAUCAAAGCUUACUCAGUCUGUGAGCCUUAGAUGCCCUCAGUGCCAGUUGGUGAACCCAAAGGGAUCACAACAAAUGGAAACCACUCAUUAUCGUGGGACUAUGCCUGGGGAACAUUGGGAAGUAGACUUUACAGAAAUGGGGAAGCCUGGACUUCAAGGGUAUAAAUAUUUGCUAGUAAUGAUUGAUACUUUCACUGGAUGGGUUGAGGCCUUUCCCACUAAAUCUGAAUCAGCUCAGAUGGUAGUCAAAAAGCUUUUAUAUGAAGGUUGUCCCACAAUUUGGUCUCCCUUUAUCCAUGGGGUCCGACAAUGGCCCGGCUUUUAUAGCCCAGAUAACUCAAAAACUAACCCAAGCUUUGCAGAUUGAUUGGAAACUCCAUUGUGCUUACUGGCCUCAAAGUUCAGGACAAAUAGAAAGGAUGAACCAGACCCUAAAAACGAUAAUAACUAAGAUGACAUUAGAAACUGGCGAAAACUGGGUGAGUCUCCUUCCUUUUUUGCCCUCUUGCGCACGCGAUGUACCCCCUAUGUUGCAGGUAUUUCCCCUUUUGAAGCUCUAUAUGGGAGACCUCCUCCUCUUAUUCCUAAGAUUUCUGAGGAAAAAUUAGCUGAUCUGGCUAAUCAAGAUCUCAUUAAGUCCCUCCAGGCCCUCCAGCCAGUACUAACUUCUAUCCAUCGAUUAUUCCGGCAACAACAUCCUCCACCUACAGUCCACUCUGAAAAACGCCCUACAGUGGAACCUGGGACACUAGUCCUCAUCAAGAGACAUCACCAUGAAUCCCUUGAACCAUGGUGGGAGGGCCCCUAUGCCAUGGUUCUCAGCACUCCGACUGCCAUCAAAGUCGCAGGAAAGCCUGCCUAGAUUCAUCAAUCCCACUUCAAGCCAGUUCCAGCCUCUGACAGUGAUCAACCUACAGAUAAGUGGACUGUUGUUCCCUCCAAGGAUCCUUUAAAACUUAAAAUUGCCAAAUGUAUCCAAUAAUCUUGUUCUUAUAUAUUUUUCCUUAUGGCGGCCCCAGUGAGAUACCUCAUAACCCACUGUUUGGAACUUGAAAAAUUACUAACUAUUUCACCGGUAAAUUAUUGGUAGCCAAUGCUACUGUCCAUGGGAUAAUUAAGGUAGAUUUAUGUGUCCUAUUAGAUAACAUCCCAGCAAAAAUUAGACAAAAGAGAAUGUUAUUGGGUCAGCAUUCCAUACUGCAUGAUUGGUUGCUAAUAAAACCAUCUGGACCUUGUAGGGACUUACGUAGUCAAAAGGAAUUACAGUUUACUGACUGUUAUCUUUGCCCCAAAAAACAGCCAGCCUCUGAUCACACUGAUCACACUAGUAGGUGUUCACAGUCCAUAGAGACAAAAUAUUUUUAUAAACAUUGGGGUUGUGAGUCUAUAUCUCCUUGGCAGGAAAAUAAAGGGGAUCAUUACCUUUUCCUUACUCGGGAGACCCCAUCUUCCUGCACCCUCAACCAAUGUAAUCUUAUGACUUUCAGACCUAAAUCCCAACUGACCCUGUUUGGAAAGCAGGAUUGCAUUAUGGUAUCGGGUUGUGGGUUUCUGGAUAUGACCCAGGAAGUGCCUUUACCAUUCAGUUCAUUCCUGGGCCUGUUUGGACAGCUCCCAUCAGGUCCAUAGGCCCUCAAGCUCCCCAGCCACCUCAAUCUCCUCCUUUUACUCAUCUUCUGCCCUCCUCCACUAGACUUCCUGCUCCUAAGACCUUUUUGCCCUCUGCCAUUUCUGCAGCAUCCCUAGACCCUUUCUUGCCUCUGGACAUUGCUUACCAGUUUCUUAAACCGAGUGCCCCAAACUUCACUGCUGACUGCUAGCUAUGCCUUCCAUCUUGACCUCCCUUCUAUAUGGGCACCCCUGUAACUAUUAUGACAAAUCAACUUUUAAAUUCCUCUGCAGAUGACACCUCUUGUUGGUGGGGUACUAGGCCCCUGCUCACACUGGACAGUAUACAGAGUACUCCAGGAACCUCUGCCUCCUACUCCUUGCACACUUCCCCUUAUGCUGCACUCUGUAAUCUAAUCUCUUCAGUUGUGAUUCAUAAUUUUUCCUAUCCUGCUAAUCAACACCUUGUUGCUCCCAACAGAACCUGGUUUGCCUGUACUUCUGGCAUAACUCCAUGUUCUAUACAUCACCUGUUCACCCAGCACCCUGAGCUUUGCAUAUUGGUUCAUAUUUUUCCCCAAGUGUAUUGGUACUCUAGAGAUAAUGAUAAGAGUCAUUUGCUCCCUAACUUUGACUUAAAGAGUACAGUCCAAAUAAAGAGAAAUCGUAUACUCUUACCCGUAUUAUUGGGAGUUGGGUUGGCAGGGUCAGUAGGUUUAGAAGUGUCCAGCUUAAUAACUGAAAAACAAAAUUAUAGACACUUAAAUACACUCAUUAACCAGGAUCUAGCAGCCCUCAGUGACUCUGUCUCCAAAUUAGAUGAUUCUUUAAGUUCACAGCUGAGAUGGUUUUACAAAACCGGCGGGGUCUAGAUCUCCUGUUCCUAAAGAAAGGAGGCCUUUGUCUGGCAUUAGGAGAAAAUUGUUGUUUGUAUGCCAGUCAUUCUGGGGUUAUCAGACAAAGUAUGGCCAGCCUUAAAAGGCAGUUACAGGAUCAAGAACAAGCCAGACAAGCUAAAUAGAACUGGUUUGAGCGAUGGUUUUCUCUAUCUCCCUGGUUGACAACAAUAAUCACAGCAGCCUCUGGACCUCUGUUAAUCUUACUUACUUGUUUGACAAUUGGACCUUACAUUAUAAACAGAUUAAUAAAUUAUGUCAAAGAACGGGUUCGAACAAUAAAACUCAUGGUUCUAAGGACACAAGUUUAUGAACAAAUACCACUGCUUGAAAAUUCCAUGAGCCAAUGGAUCACUGACAAAAAUCAGUGGGGAAUGUUAUACUAAGAUGCUGAAAAAUUAAAAUAGCUGAUUAAAAGAUAAUUAACAAAAAUAGUUACUUAAAAAGAUAGUUAUUAGUAAUAUUGUCAUUCUGUACUGAGCUCGUUACCCUAGUAACCAAGCACCAACUUCAUAGUUAUAAAUUAACUGACCACAUCAUUCUGCUGUUCUGUAAUGCGUCAUCCCCCCUACCUUAGUGACCUGUGUGCAAUGUCAACUUUUGUUCCCCUUGUAAGAGACAAAUGAUGCUGUGUCAACCAUUGUUCCCUUUAUGAGAGACAAAUGUUCCUGGAAUUGGCAGACCAAGGGCUAUGAAUUGGCUAACCACCCACUGUGAAAUGCCUCUUACUUCAAGCAAAGGGGAAUAAAAGGCCCACCUUAUUUCUGUUUCUUAUCCCUAUAUACUUAAUGAUCAAUGAGCUAAUCAUAAAUAAACUAUAAAAAUCAGUCAAAACUCUAACUCAGUUGCACAGCUUUGCAAAUUCCAUCUGCACUGUGUCACUGGGCCAGCUAAAAUAAAAGCGCUUCUUUUAAAAAA
This is a long non-coding RNA of Cavia porcellus (domestic guinea pig), 4475 nucleotides long. RefSeq lists it as uncharacterized. The record is from RefSeq and is a predicted model, not a curated record. The transcript is spliced from 2 exons. Lineage: Eukaryota; Metazoa; Chordata; Mammalia; Rodentia; Caviidae.